This 618-nucleotide long non-coding RNA is filed under the name Salvia miltiorrhiza (redroot sage). RNAcentral's name for it is "long non-coding RNA (SMIL_LNC007387)". Lineage: Eukaryota; Viridiplantae; Streptophyta; Magnoliopsida; Lamiales; Lamiaceae. The record is from RNAcentral.
AAAACAUGCUAUAUUACGAAUUAUAAUAGCAAUGAUAAAUAUAAAAACAUGCUAUAUUUUAAUGUAGAUUUCAUAUAAUGAAAAAGUAAAACUAAAUGGUUUUAAUACCUGAGAAUAUUUCCAAUGCCGCCCACACCAACGUGCCAACAGUAUUGUUGGCAACAUCUUUGUGCUUCACCCUCGCCACUUUUUUGUUAGUGUAUCACAAUAUUUUAUGCGUUUGGAAAAGAUAAUGCUCCGAAUCUACAGAUCUGCGGUUUUAUUUGGAAAUCCAUCAAAGCAUAUUAUGAGUAUUUUUGUUCAAUAACAAAGCGUCAAUCCCAUUGAGUAAGAAGAACUGAAGAUUUUUUUUUUAAAAAAAAAAAAACUAAAAAAAAAGGAGAGAGAAUUGUGCUUCGUAUUUAUCUGUCAUGAUUAAAAUAAAGAGAAUUGUGCUAAUACAAGGAAUAAUAAAUCGACAAAUUAAUUGGUAGGAAAAAAAAAAAAGAGAAAAGGAAACAGAUUAAAUCACCUGCUAAUGUAGCCGUAGUAGCGCAGCUGGGUUGAUGAGCGAGUGUGCGGCGGCUUCACAAGUGCGACGGAGGCAUAGCGCAGCCCUAGCGAGGCUGGGUUUAUUUU